This 73-nucleotide transfer RNA is filed under the name Chitinophaga agrisoli. Its description in RNAcentral is "Chitinophaga sp. BN140078 tRNA-Ile". It matches the Rfam family "tRNA". From Rfam's summary of the family: Transfer RNA (tRNA) molecules are approximately 80 nucleotides in length. Their secondary structure includes four short double-helical elements and three loops (D, anti-codon, and T loops). Lineage: Bacteria; Pseudomonadati; Bacteroidota; Chitinophagia; Chitinophagales; Chitinophagaceae. The record is from RNAcentral.
GGUGACUUAGCUCAAUUGGUAGAGUACUACGCUGAUACCGUAGCGGUUGGCAGUUCGAGUCCGCCAGUCACCA